UGGUAAGGUAACGGCUUACCAAGGCAACGAUGCGUAGCCGACCUGAGAGGGUGAUCGGCCACACUGGAACUGAGACACGGUCCAGACUCCUACGGGAGGCAGCAGUAGGGAAUCUUCCGCACUGGGCGAAAGCCUGACGGAGCAACGCCGCGUGAGUGAUGAAGGUCUUCGGAUCGUAAAACUCUGUUAUUAGGGAAGAA
RNAcentral lists this ribosomal RNA (200 nucleotides) under Staphylococcus epidermidis. RNAcentral's name for it is "partial 16S ribosomal RNA". It matches the Rfam family "Bacterial small subunit ribosomal RNA", at positions 250 to 449 of the family's 1533-position model. The record is from RNAcentral. Lineage: Bacteria; Bacillati; Bacillota; Bacilli; Caryophanales; Staphylococcaceae.